CAAACAGUUUUACAUAUUUAAAAAUAUACAUACUUAAAAUUAACAUAUUACUAAACCUACAGUUCCCUAAAUAUGCAUAUAAAACAAAAAAGUAUACGGUAUACUGACACUUAUAAACGUAAGUUUUAUAAACGUUAAAAAAAACAAAGUAAAAUGAACGCAACACCACCCGUAUCCCUCAAACUAUGCAACGAACGCACAUUUUCUAAGUUUGCUGGAUGACAGGCACCGGUUGGUUACGUUCGGGAGCGAGCGGUCGUGUUACGCAACGAGAUAAGUACUAAAAUGCUAUAGUGUAAAUUAACAUAAGUCGGAAUCUAAAUGAUCCGGAGACCUAAAAAAGAAACAAUUGUUCAAUACAGGUCGCAGUGUUUGUAUAAUGCGAUGUGUUUACUUUUUGAUAAAUACUUAUUAUUAGUAUUUAUAUGACGGCUUGCGAGAACCCCGGAUUUUGCAAUGUAAACUCCACGCACCAAACGUGGUGUAUACUGUAGAUAAUAACAUCUAUAAUUAUAAUUGUAUGAAUCAAGGACAGUGAUGAUGAUGAUAUGAUCGUCAUCUAUAGCAAGAUAUUAAAUUCUUCAUCAUAAAAAAAAAUAAAUAUGAAUGGAUGGCGUGAAGGCCAGAAACUUUAGGUCUCCUGACUCCAUUUAAUGACGUAACAAAACUCAGGACACAACAA
Long non-coding RNA from Hyposmocoma kahamanoa, 682 nucleotides. RefSeq lists it as uncharacterized. The transcript is spliced from 3 exons. Lineage: Eukaryota; Metazoa; Arthropoda; Insecta; Lepidoptera; Cosmopterigidae. The record is from RefSeq and is a predicted model, not a curated record.